RNAcentral lists this transfer RNA (106 nucleotides) under Thermoprotei archaeon. RNAcentral's name for it is "tRNA-OTHER". It matches the Rfam family "tRNA". From Rfam's summary of the family: Transfer RNA (tRNA) molecules are approximately 80 nucleotides in length. RNAcentral also lists the same sequence under 1 other name. The record is from RNAcentral. Lineage: Archaea; Thermoproteati; Thermoproteota; Thermoprotei.
GCCGGGGUGCCCGAGCGGACUAAGGGGUCGGACACUCCUAAUUGGGAGCCGGACUUGAGAUCCGAUGCCUCUCUGGGGCGCGUGGGUUCGAAUCCCACCCCCGGCG